RNAcentral lists this transfer RNA (73 nucleotides) under Camelus bactrianus (Bactrian camel). It matches the Rfam family "tRNA". Rfam says of the family: Transfer RNA (tRNA) molecules are approximately 80 nucleotides in length. Their secondary structure includes four short double-helical elements and three loops (D, anti-codon, and T loops). RNAcentral also lists the same sequence under 1 other name. Lineage: Eukaryota; Metazoa; Chordata; Mammalia; Artiodactyla; Camelidae. The record is from Rfam by way of RNAcentral.
GAGGCUAUAGCUCAAAUGGUAAAGCACAUGCUUAGCAUGCAUGAGGUCCUGGGUUCAUUCUCCAGUUCCUCCA